RNAcentral lists this transfer RNA (61 nucleotides) under Podarcis lilfordi (Lilford's wall lizard). RNAcentral describes it as "tRNA.Lys". It matches the Rfam family "tRNA", at positions 9 to 63 of the family's 71-position model. From Rfam's summary of the family: Transfer RNA (tRNA) molecules are approximately 80 nucleotides in length. Their secondary structure includes four short double-helical elements and three loops (D, anti-codon, and T loops). Lineage: Eukaryota; Metazoa; Chordata; Lepidosauria; Squamata; Lacertidae. The record is from RNAcentral.
GAGCUCAGCUGGUAGAGAGUGAGACUCUUAAUCUCAGGAUCAUGGGUUUGAGCCCCAUGCA